This is a non-coding RNA of Pelobates cultripes (western spadefoot toad), 313 nucleotides long. The record is from the annotation of a GenBank genome assembly. NCBI's taxonomy places the organism in Eukaryota, Metazoa, Chordata, Amphibia, Anura, Pelobatidae.
GUCCGGUCCAAUCCUCUAUAUCAGUAGGUGGAAGGUCCAAGGCCUGCAGGAAGUACCUCCAUUGGGUCGCUGAUAGAGUAGGUCUUGCCUUGCUGUGUCACCACCAGGGCGAAAGGGAAAGUCCAGCCGAAUUUUAUGUUUGUUCAGUAGGAUUUGGGUGAUAGGCUGGAGCGUUCUCCUGGCUAGAAGCGUUGCCGGAGAGAGGUCCUGGUAAAUGUCCACUCUGUGGCCCUUAUAUUGCAAUUUACUGGAUUGACGGGCCCUCCGGUAGAUCUCUUCCUUCAAUGGGAAGUUAUGAAUAUGACAUAUAAGG